UACGAAGGGGGCUAGCGUUGUUCGGAUUUACUGGGCGUAAAGGGCGCGUAGGCGGAUCGUUAAGUCGGGGGUGAAAUCCCGAGGCUCAACCUCGGAACUGCCUUCGAUACUGGCGAUCUUGAGUCCGGGAGAGGUGUAUGGAACUCCUAGUGUAGAGGUGGAAUUCGUAGAUAUUAGGAAGAACACCAGUGGCGAAGGCGAUACACUGGCCCGGUACUGACGCUGAGGCGCGAAAGCGUGGGGAGCAAACAGG
RNAcentral lists this ribosomal RNA (253 nucleotides) under uncultured bacterium. RNAcentral's name for it is "partial 16S ribosomal RNA". It matches the Rfam family "Bacterial small subunit ribosomal RNA", at positions 524 to 776 of the family's 1533-position model. The record is from RNAcentral.